Molecule: non-coding RNA, 168 nt
Organism: Pelobates cultripes (western spadefoot toad)
Lineage: Eukaryota; Metazoa; Chordata; Amphibia; Anura; Pelobatidae
Source: the annotation of a GenBank genome assembly
GCAGACACAUUCCAGCCAAUCAGCAGCAGACCCUCCCUCCCAGAUCCUCCCACCUCCUGGACAGCAUCCAUUUUACAUUCAUUGUGAAGCUGUAUUCUUAGUGAGCUGUCCAGGAGGUGGGAGGGUCUGGGAGGGAGGGUCUGCUGCUGAUUGGCUGGAAUGUGUCUG